UGAGGAAUAUUGGUCAAUGGGAGAGAUCCUGAACCAGCCAAGCCGCGUGAGGGAAGACGGCCCUAUGGGUUGUAAACCUCUUUUGUCGGAGAACAAAACCCGGGACGUGUCCCGGACUGCGUGUAUCCGAAGAAAAAGCAUCGGCUAACUCCGUGCCAGCAGCCGCGGUAAUACGGAGGAUGCGAGCGUUAUCCGGAUUUAUUGGGUUUAAAGGGUGCGUAGGCGGUCCGUUAAGUCAGCGGUAAAAUUGCGGGGCUCAACCCCGUCGAGCCGUUGAAACUGGCAGACUUGAGUUGGCGAGAA
Molecule: ribosomal RNA, 303 nt
Filed under: uncultured bacterium
Lineage: Bacteria
Description: bacterial SSU rRNA
Rfam family: Bacterial small subunit ribosomal RNA
Source: RNAcentral